CGCUUUCUUUUCUUCCUCUGGAGCAGUUAUGGCGGCGGCGAAGACCCUGAACCCCAAGGCCAAGGUGGCCGGAGCGCAGGCGGCGCUGGCGUUCAACAUUAGCGGGGCGCGGGGUCUGCAGGACGUGCUGAGGACCAACCUGGGGCCCAAAGGGACCAUAAAGAUUCUUGUUUCUGGCGCUGGAGACAUCAAGCUUACUAAAGACACAGGAGUUGACGAUCAGCCCUGGCCAACAUGGUGAAACUCAGUCUCUACUAAAAAUACAAAAAUUAGCCGGGCACGGUCCUGCACAGUGCGCUGCUUCACGAAAUGGUGAGAGGUGCUCUGCUAGGUCAGAAAUGUCUUGAUUUUCCGUAGAACUUUUGCUUUGUAGAAAGAUUUGCAAUGUCCAUUCUCAAGGUAGGAGAACAUUCAGAAGUGACAUGUAACAGUGACAGUAAUAGUACUGACUGUGCCUGGAGUCUGACAGCCCUGUCUUUGAAUCCCUGCUUUUUUGCCAUUCACAGUCUG
This 510-nucleotide long non-coding RNA is filed under the name Homo sapiens (human). Its description in RNAcentral is "non-protein coding lnc-VKORC1L1-7:7". Lineage: Eukaryota; Metazoa; Chordata; Mammalia; Primates; Hominidae. The record is from RNAcentral.